AUAAGAGCUUUUUAGGUAAUUUCCCCAUUCCCAAAAGUCGAGUGUUUUAGGGUUAGGGCUCUUAAUUUUUUGUCUUCCCAAUUUCUCUGAUCUCUUCUAAUUUCAGGCGUUAACAUGUCGACCAAGCAAGGUGGCAAAGCGAAGCCUUUGAAGCAACCUAAAACUGCAAAGAAAGAAUAUGACGAGGUUGAUAUGGCUAACAUUCAGAAAAAGAAGGAAGAAGAAAAGGUGAGGUGUUGGUCUUGUUACACUCAUGGAGGUUCUUAAAGAGCUGAGAGCAAAGGCACAAAAGGGGCCGGUUGGUGGUGCAGGACUUAAGAAGAGCGGGAAGAAAUGAGGAUCUAAAACUCAUCAAAUCACAAACUGCUGUGGAUUCUGUUUGUGAGUAAAACUUCUAUUAUGAUGACAUCUCUUGUUUUAGUUUGAUGGGCUAGGGCAUCAUUUGGAAUGAUCUGAUGCUCUAGUUUCGUAAUUGAAUUUGCUGCAAAACCUUGUGUGAAAGUUCGAUAUUGUAAAACUUAAUAAACUUAAGUUUUAUACCAAUUGUGCUUUUGGGU
Long non-coding RNA from Hibiscus syriacus, 557 nucleotides. RefSeq lists it as uncharacterized. NCBI's taxonomy places the organism in Eukaryota, Viridiplantae, Streptophyta, Magnoliopsida, Malvales, Malvaceae. The record is from RefSeq and is a predicted model, not a curated record. The transcript has 6 exons.